RNAcentral lists this ribosomal RNA (438 nucleotides) under uncultured bacterium. RNAcentral describes it as "bacterial SSU rRNA". It matches the Rfam family "Bacterial small subunit ribosomal RNA", at positions 954 to 1392 of the family's 1533-position model. The record is from RNAcentral.
GCAGAACGCGAAGAACCUUACCUGGGCUUGACAUCUACGGAACCUGCGUGAAAGCGUGGGGUGCCUUCGGGAGCCGUAAGACAGGUGGUGCACGGUUGUCGUCAGCUCGUGUCGUGAGAUGUUGGGUUAAGUCCCGUAACGAGCGCAACCCUUGUCCUUAGUUACCAGCACCUCGGGUGGGAACUCUAAGGAGACUGCCGGUGACAAACCGGAGGAAGGUGGGGAUGACGUCAAGUCAUCAUGGCCCUUACGGCCUGGGCUACACACGUGCUACAAUGGUCGGUACAGAGGGUUGCCAAGCCGCGAGGUGGAGCUAAUCUCACAAAACCGAUCGUAGUCCGGAUCGCAGUCUGCAACUCGACUACAUGAAGUUGGAAUCGCUAGUAAUCGCAAAUCAGCAUGUUGCGGUGAAUACGUUCCCGGGUCUUGUACACACCG